AGACCCGAAACCCGGUGAUCUAGCCAUGGGCAGGUUGAAGGUUGGGUAACACUAACUGGAGGACCGAACCGACUAAUGUUGAAAAAUUAGCGGAUGACCUGUGGCUGGGGGUGAAAGGCCAAUCAAACCGGGAGAUAGCUGGUUCUCCCCGAAAGCUAUUUAGGUAGCGCCUCGUGAAUUCAUCUCCGGGGGUAGAGCACUGUUUCGGCUAGGGGGCCAUCCCGGCUUACCAACCCGAUGCAAACUGCGAAUACCGGAGAAUGUUAUCACGGGAGACACACGGCGGGUGCUAACGUCCGUCGUGAAGAGGGAAACAACCCAGACCGCCAGCUAAGGUCCCAAAGUCAUGGUUAAGUGGGAAACGAUGUGGGAAGGCCCAGACAGCCAGGAUGUUGGCUUAGAAGCAGCCAUCAUUUAAAGAAAGCGUAAUAGCUCACUGGUCGAGUCGGCCUGCGCGGAAGAUGUAACGGGGCUAAACCAUGCACCGAAGCUGCGGCAGCGACACUCAGGUGUUGUUGGGUAGGGGAGCGUUCUGUAAGC
Molecule: ribosomal RNA, 540 nt
Filed under: Salmonella enterica subsp. enterica serovar Infantis
Lineage: Bacteria; Pseudomonadati; Pseudomonadota; Gammaproteobacteria; Enterobacterales; Enterobacteriaceae
Also listed under: 3 other names
Description: partial 23S ribosomal RNA
Rfam family: Bacterial large subunit ribosomal RNA
Source: RNAcentral